UUGUGAUCAGUGGCGAACGGGUGAGUAACACGUGAGUAACCUGCCCCAGACUCUGGGAUAACUCCGGGAAACCGGUGCUAAUACUGGAUAUGACAUCAAGCCGCAUGGUUAUGGUGUGGAAAGUUUUUCGGUCUGGGAUGGGCUCGCGGCCUAUCAGCUUGUUGGUGAGGUAGUGGCUCACCAAGGCGACGACGGGUAGCCGGCCUGAGAGGGCGAUCGGCCACACUGGGACUGAGACACGGCCCAGACUCCUACGGGAGGCAGCAGUGGGGAAUAUUGCACAAUGGGCGCAAGCCUGAUGCAGCGACGCCGCGUGAGGGAUGACGGCCUUCGGGUUGUAAACCUCUUUCAGCAGGGGAGAAGCCUUUCGGGGUGACGGUACCUGCAGAAGAAGCACCGGCUAACUACGUGCCAGCAGCCGCGGUAAUACGUAGGGUGCGAGCGUUGUCCGGAAUUAUUGGGCGUAAAGAGCUUGUAGGCGGUUUGUCGCGUCUGCUGUGAAAAUCCGGGGCUCAACCCCGGACUUGCAGUGGGUACGGGCAGACUAGAGUGUGGUAGGGGAGACUGGAAUUCCUGGUGUAGCGGUGGAAUGCGCAGAUAUCAGGAGGAACACCGAUGGCGAAGGCAGGUCUCUGGGCCAUUACUGACGCUGAGAAGCGAAAGCAUGGGGAGCAAACAGGAUUAGAUACCCUGGUAGUCCAUGCCGUAAACGGUGGGAACUAGGUGUGGGUCUCAUUCCACGAGAUCCGUGCCGCAGCUA
Molecule: ribosomal RNA, 760 nt
Filed under: Phycicoccus sp. PSY032
Lineage: Bacteria; Bacillati; Actinomycetota; Actinomycetes; Micrococcales; Intrasporangiaceae
Description: bacterial SSU rRNA
Rfam family: Bacterial small subunit ribosomal RNA
Source: RNAcentral